This 373-nucleotide unclassified non-coding RNA is filed under the name Hevea brasiliensis (rubber tree). Lineage: Eukaryota; Viridiplantae; Streptophyta; Magnoliopsida; Malpighiales; Euphorbiaceae. The record is from RNAcentral.
UCAGCAAGCUUGAUCAAGUGAAUCAGGUUUGUAACAACUUGGGACAGCUCAGGGGUUUCUGCUGCCACCAUGGCCAUAUCUGUAUUGAAUAAUUCAGACUAUUUGCUAAAAGCAUAUCCUCUGACAAUCUAUUANUCUCACCUUUAAAACUAUUAAGUUUUAAAGGUUCUUCUAUCCUGAAAAUCGUUGUGGAAAGGUGAGACAUUAUAUAAGGAAAAAAAAAAAAAAACUAUCGACAUUUUGUUCUCAUAGGCUGUGUUUUUGGCUUAUAUUAAUUCUGGCUGGAGUUUCAUCUUAGAAUAACUGAUCCCUGCAAUCCACCACACAUUUUUUCUUUUUAUGGUUUGUUGCUGAAGAUAUCUUACCUGUUUAU